CCUACGGGAGGCAGCAGUGGGGAAUAUUGGGCAAUGGACGAAAGCCUGACCCAGCAACGCAGCGUGAAGGAAGAAGGCUUUCGGGUUGUAAACUUCUUUUAAGAGGGAAGAGCAGAAGAGGGUACCUAUUGAAUAAGACACAGCAAACUACGUGCCAGCAGCCGCGGUAAUACGUAGGUGGCAAGUGUUGUCCGGAUUUCCUGGGUGUAAAGGGCGUGCAGUGGGGAAGACAAGUCAGAUGUGAAGUCCCGCGGCUCAACCGCGGAACUGCAUUUGAAACUGGUAUUCUUGAGUACCGGAGAGGUCAUCGGAAUUCCUGGUGUAGCGGUGAAAUGCUUAGAUAUAAGGAAGAACACCAGUGGCGAAGGCAGAUGACUGGACGGCAACUGACGGUGAGGCGCGAAAGCGUGGGGAGCAAACAGGAUUAGAUACCCUGGUAGUC
This 442-nucleotide ribosomal RNA is filed under the name uncultured bacterium. RNAcentral's name for it is "partial 16S ribosomal RNA". It matches the Rfam family "Bacterial small subunit ribosomal RNA", at positions 338 to 795 of the family's 1533-position model. The record is from RNAcentral.